Molecule: ribosomal RNA, 222 nt
Filed under: uncultured Symbiodinium
Lineage: Eukaryota; Dinophyceae; Suessiales; Symbiodiniaceae
Description: partial Eukaryotic small subunit ribosomal RNA
Rfam family: Eukaryotic small subunit ribosomal RNA
Source: RNAcentral
UUGCGGAUCGCAUGGCUUCGGCUGGCGAUGGAUCAUUCAAGUUUCUGGCCUAUCAGCUUUGGACGGUAAGGUAUUGGCUUACCGUGGCUUUAACGGGUAACGGGGAAUUAGGGUUCGAUUCCGGAGAGGGAGCAUGAGAAACGGCUACCACAUCCAAGGAAGGCAGCAGGCGCACAAAUUACCCAAUCCUGACUCAGGGAGGUAGUGACAAGAAAUAACAAU